Molecule: unclassified non-coding RNA, 236 nt
Filed under: uncultured fungus
Lineage: Eukaryota; Fungi
Description: partial contains 5.8S ribosomal RNA, internal transcribed spacer 2, and large subunit ribosomal RNA
Source: RNAcentral
AACGCACAUUGCGCCCCGUGGCAUUCCGCGGGGCAUGCCUGUUCGAGCGUCAUUUCAACCCUCAAGCCCUGCUUGGUGUUGGGCCGGGCCCGUCGCGGCCGGCCCUAAAGACAGUGGCGGCGCCGCCCGGCUCCCAGCGUAGUACCUCUUCUCGCUGCGGCGCCUGGCGGUGGCCUGCCAGAACCCCCGACUCUGUGGUUGACCUCGGAUCAGGUAGGGAUACCCGCUGAACUUAA